AAAAAAUUAAAAUUAAAAAUCUCCCAGCAUGCAUCAACCACCCAGACAAAAUAUCCCAUUAUAUGAGGGUCAUAAUGGGGGUACCUUAAUGACGAAUAACGGUAAAAAGUCUUGCCAAAUGAUGUUAACGAUAAUUUUUUGAGUAUGACUAUAAAAUGUACACUUUCUUUUAGAAGAUAAAAACAUGGACUGAUUUUAACGAAUCACGUUAAUUUUUUUCUAAAAAUGAAGGUAACGAUAAUUAUUUAAGACCUCUGACAAAUCACGAUAAGGAUAUUUUAAUGUAUCACAGCAAAAUUUUAACCAAUUUGACGCUAACGGUAGAAGGAAAUGACUGUUAGACGCCUGAUGUAAAAGGACAUUACUACCCUCUUAUAUGAAUCGAUCAAGACAAAAAUCUUCUACCCUUCUUCAAACAUUAACAAAACUCUCAUAAUACAUAUAGAGGUAAAAAAUCAAUUGUUAUUUAUGUGAAAUUGUUAUUUAUUAUAGCAUUGUUGUAUGUAUUGCUUUUAAACUAUAAAUCUUGUUUUGAAAAAA
This 540-nucleotide long non-coding RNA is filed under the name Mytilus galloprovincialis (Mediterranean mussel). Lineage: Eukaryota; Metazoa; Mollusca; Bivalvia; Mytilida; Mytilidae. The record is from RNAcentral.